This 425-nucleotide ribosomal RNA is filed under the name uncultured bacterium. RNAcentral's name for it is "partial 16S ribosomal RNA". It matches the Rfam family "Bacterial small subunit ribosomal RNA", at positions 354 to 796 of the family's 1533-position model. The record is from RNAcentral.
GUUAGGAAUAUUGGACAAUGGGCGCAAGCCUGAUCCAGCCAUGCCGCGUGAGUGAUGAAGGCCUUCGGGUUGUAAAGCUCUUUAGUCCACGAAUAUAAUGACUGUAGUGGAAGAAUAAGCCCCGGCUAACUUCGUGCCAGCAGCCACGGUAAUACGAAGGGGGCGAGCGUUAUUCGGAAUCACUGGGCGUAAAGCGUGCGUAGGCUGUUUUGUAAGUCAGAAGUGAAAGCCCAGGGCUUAACCCUGGAAUUGCUUUUGAAACUACAAGACUCGAAUUCGGGAGAGGAUAGCGGAAUUGUCAGUGUAGCAGUGAAAUGCGUAGAUAUUGACAGGAACACCAGUGGCGCAAGCGGCUAUCUGGACCGAUAUUGACGCUGAGGCACGAAAGCGUGGGGAGCAAACAGGAUUAGAUACCCGGGUAGUCC